GAUGAACGCUAGCGGCAGGCCUAACACAUGCAAGUCGAGGGGUAGAAGUCUUCGGGCUUUGAGACCGGCGCACGGGUGCGUAACGCGUAUGCAAUCUGCCUUACACUAAGGGAUAGCCCAGAGAAAUUUGGAUUAAUACCUUAUAGUAUAUUGAUGUGGCAUCACAUUAUUAUUAAAGAUUUAUCGGUGUAAGAUGAGCAUGCGUCCCAUUAGCUAGUUGGUAUGGUAACGGCAUACCAAGGCAAUGAUGGGUAGGGGUCCUGAGAGGGAGAUCCCCCACACUGGUACUGAGACACGGACCAGACUCCUACGGGAGGCAGCAGUGAGGAAUAUUGGACAAUGGGCGCAAGCCUGAUCCAGCCAUGCCGCGUGCAGGAUGACGGUCCUAUGGAUUGUAAACUGCUUUUAUACAGGAAGAAACCCUACUACGUGUAGUAGAUUGACGGUACUGGAGGAAUAAGGAUCGGCUAACUCCGUG
RNAcentral lists this ribosomal RNA (478 nucleotides) under uncultured bacterium. RNAcentral's name for it is "partial 16S ribosomal RNA". It matches the Rfam family "Bacterial small subunit ribosomal RNA", at positions 28 to 507 of the family's 1533-position model. The record is from RNAcentral.